Molecule: transfer RNA, 75 nt
Filed under: Candidatus Zambryskibacteria bacterium CG10_big_fil_rev_8_21_14_0_10_42_12
Lineage: Bacteria; Candidatus Zambryskiibacteriota
Description: tRNA-Val
Rfam family: tRNA
About the family: Transfer RNA (tRNA) molecules are approximately 80 nucleotides in length. Their secondary structure includes four short double-helical elements and three loops (D, anti-codon, and T loops).
Source: RNAcentral
GAUCCUUUAGCUCAGUGGUAGAGCGUUUCGUUGACAUCGAAAAGGUCGGUGGUUCGAUCCCACCAAGGAUCACCA